Molecule: ribosomal RNA, 253 nt
Filed under: uncultured bacterium
Lineage: Bacteria
Description: partial 16S ribosomal RNA
Rfam family: Bacterial small subunit ribosomal RNA
Source: RNAcentral
UACGAAGGGUGCAAGCGUUACUCGGAAUUACUGGGCGUAAAGCGUGCGUAGGUGGUCGUUUAAGUCCGUUGUGAAAGCCCUGGGCUCAACCUGGGAACUGCAGUGGAUACUGGGCGACUAGAGUGUGGUAGAGGGUAGCGGAAUUCCUGGUGUAGCAUUGAAAUGCGUAGAGAUCAGGAGGAACAUCCAUGGCGAAGGCAGCUACCUGGACCAACACUGACACUGAGGAACGAAAGCGUGGGGAGCAAACAGG